Molecule: ribosomal RNA, 253 nt
Filed under: uncultured bacterium
Lineage: Bacteria
Description: partial 16S ribosomal RNA
Rfam family: Bacterial small subunit ribosomal RNA
Source: RNAcentral
UACGAAGGGGGCUAGCGUUGCUCGGAAUUACUGGGCGGAAAGCGCACGUAGGCGGCUUUCUAAGUCGGGGGUGAAAUCCUGGAGCUCAACUCCAGAACUGCCUUCGAUACUGGAGAGCUCGAGUCCGGGAGAGGUGAGUGGAACUGCGAGUAUAGAGGUGAAAUUCGUAGAUAUUCGCAAGAACACCAGUGGCGAAGGCGGCUCACUGGCCCGGUACUGACGCUGAGGUGCGAAAGCGUGGGGAGCAAACAGG